UCAUUUCCUUCCUGCACCUAAAUUAACUCACACCUGACCCAGGCAUUAGACACAAUAUAGACUAACAUGUCCCUUGCGAACUUCUCACCCUGUGCCAAGUACCUGGUGUUGACACUGGAAGUAACUCAUCCCUGUGACAGACACAAGGCAUUUUUUAGGGAAAUGGUGGGGAAAUGAAGAACCUACAGGAGCUUUCCUGAGUGCUCAAGGUCCCAUCCUGUAACCUCCACCUUCAGACACAGGUCUCCUCUCUGCAGGUCAUCUUCCUGAAGAAAAGCUGUCAUGUUGGUGCUUGGGAUCUGCAAAUACCUGGAUGUUCUCAUUUAAAUGGCACAUGGAUGUGCAGACAUCGACCAUAUCAUAAGGGCUGAGCACCCCAAUUCAGCAUCCAGCACCUUGAACAACCCAGAGCCCAGGCUGGAAGGGCGAUGGCUGAAGGUGGAACAGACAAGCAGAGACACUUGGCCAGAUUCUCCCUCCUGACACAUCAUUCAACGGAAACUUUUUCAGAAACAACCACAACAAAAAUCAGUGGCUGAAACCUCACUGCCUGUGGCUGGACCACGGUGAGAUUUCAUACCCCAAGCAAGGCUGGAACCAGUAUUUAGUGAAGUUGGGUCACCUCCAAGAAAGCACAGAUCCAAGAAUUAUGUUGAACUUCCGGCUAGACAAAACUAAAGUUGCACUUUUUCUCCCCAAA
Corapipo altera (White-ruffed manakin) is the source of this 700-nucleotide long non-coding RNA. RefSeq lists it as uncharacterized. The record is from RefSeq and is a predicted model, not a curated record. NCBI's taxonomy places the organism in Eukaryota, Metazoa, Chordata, Aves, Passeriformes, Pipridae. The transcript is spliced from 2 exons.